Molecule: unclassified non-coding RNA, 373 nt
Filed under: uncultured bacterium
Lineage: Bacteria
Description: contains 16S-23S intergenic spacer region
Source: RNAcentral
UCCGGUUUGUCACCGGCAGUCUCCUUUGAGUUCCCACCUUUACGUGCUGGCAACAAAGGACAAGGGUUGCGCUCGUUACGGGACUUAACCCAACAUCUCACGACACGAGCUGACGACAGCCAUGCAGCACCUUCCGGGCCGCCCCGAAGGGAAGGCCGGUUUCCCGGCCGGUCGCCCCGGAUUUAGCCUGGGUAAGGUUCUUCGCGUUGCAUCGAAUUAAGCCACGUGCUCCACCGCUUGUGCGGGCCCCCGUCAAUUCCUUUGAGUUUCAUUCUUGCGAACGUACUCCCCAGGUGGUAUGCUUACUGCGUUAACUGCGUCACUGAACCCAAAGGCCCAACAACUAGCAUACAUCGUUUACAGCGUGGACUAC